This 468-nucleotide ribosomal RNA is filed under the name uncultured bacterium. Its description in RNAcentral is "partial 16S ribosomal RNA". It matches the Rfam family "Bacterial small subunit ribosomal RNA", at positions 28 to 507 of the family's 1533-position model. The record is from RNAcentral.
GACGAACGCUGGCGGCGUGCUUAACACAUGCAAGUCGAACGGAAAGGCCCUGCUUUUGUGGGGUGCUCGAGUGGCGAACGCGUGAGUAACACGUGAGUAACCUGUCCUUGACUUUGGGAUAACUUCAGGAAACUGGGGCUCAUACCGGAUAGGAGCUCCUGCUGCAUGGUGGGGGUUGGAAAGUUUCGGCGGUUGGGGAUGGACUCGCGGCUUAUCAGCUUGGUGGUGGGGUAGUGGCUUACCAAGGCUUUGACGGGUGGCCGGGCUGAGAGGGUGACCGGCCACAUUGGGACGGAGAUACGGCCCAGACUCGUACGGGAGGCAGGAGUGGGGAAGAGAGCACAGUGGGCGGAAGCCUGAUGCAGCGACGCCGCGUGCGGGAAAACGGCAUUCGGGUUGUAAACCGAUUUCGUCUGUGACGAAGCGUGAGUGACGGUAAUGGGUAAAGAAGCACCGGCUAACUACGUG